UACAGAGGUCUCAAGCGUUGUUCGGAUUCAUUGGGCGUAAAGGGCGCGUAGGCUGCGGGGCAAGUCGGGUGUGAAAUCUCAGAGCUCAACUCUGAAACUGCACUCGAUACUGCUUUGCUUGAGGACUGGAGAGGAGAUUGGAAUUCACGGUGUAGCAGUGAAAUGCGUAGAUAUCGUGAGGAAGACCAGUGGCGAAGGCGAAUCUCUGGACAGUGACUGACGCUGAGGAGCGAAAGCCAGGGGAGCAAACGGG
RNAcentral lists this ribosomal RNA (253 nucleotides) under uncultured bacterium. Its description in RNAcentral is "partial 16S ribosomal RNA". It matches the Rfam family "Bacterial small subunit ribosomal RNA", at positions 524 to 776 of the family's 1533-position model. The record is from RNAcentral.